UACGUAGAGUGCAAGCGUUAAUCGGAAUUACUGGGCGUAAAGCGUGCGCAGGCGGUCCGUUAAGACAGAUGUGAAAUCCCCGGGCUUAACCUGGGAACUGCAUUUGUGACUGGCGGACUCGAGUAUGGCAGAGGGGGGUAGAAUUCCCGGUGUAGCAGUGAAAUGCGUAGAGAUCGGGAGGAACAUCAGUUGCGAAGGCGGCUCUCUGGACCAGCACUGACACUGAGGCACGAAAGCGUGGGGAGCAAACAGG
This 253-nucleotide ribosomal RNA is filed under the name uncultured bacterium. Its description in RNAcentral is "partial 16S ribosomal RNA". It matches the Rfam family "Bacterial small subunit ribosomal RNA", at positions 524 to 776 of the family's 1533-position model. The record is from RNAcentral.